RNAcentral lists this ribosomal RNA (1452 nucleotides) under Enterobacter sp. RCB384. RNAcentral describes it as "bacterial SSU rRNA". It matches the Rfam family "Bacterial small subunit ribosomal RNA". Lineage: Bacteria; Pseudomonadati; Pseudomonadota; Gammaproteobacteria; Enterobacterales; Enterobacteriaceae. The record is from RNAcentral.
GGCGGCAGGCCUAACACAUGCAAGUCGAGCGGUAACACAGGGAGCUUGCUCCCGGGUGACGAGCGGCGGACGGGUGAGUAAUGUCUGGGAAACUGCCUGAUGGAGGGGGAUAACUACUGGAAACGGUAGCUAAUACCGCAUAACGUCGCAAGACCAAAGAGGGGGACCUUCGGGCCUCUUGCCAUCAGAUGUGCCCAGAUGGGAUUAGCUAGUAGGUGGGGUAACGGCUCACCUAGGCGACGAUCCCUAGCUGGUCUGAGAGGAUGACCAGCCACACUGGAACUGAGACACGGUCCAGACUCCUACGGGAGGCAGCAGUGGGGAAUAUUGCACAAUGGGCGCAAGCCUGAUGCAGCCAUGCCGCGUGUAUGAAGAAGGCCUUCGGGUUGUAAAGUACUUUCAGCGGGGAGGAAGGUAGUUGAGGUUAAUAACCUCAGCAAUUGACGUUACCCGCAGAAGAAGCACGGGCUAACUCCGUGCCAGCAGCCGCGGUAAUACGGAGGGUGCAAGCGUUAAUCGGAAUUACUGGGCGUAAAGCGCACGCAGGCGGUCUGUCAAGUCGGAUGUGAAAUCCCCGGGCUCAACCUGGGAACUGCAUUCGAAACUGGCAGGCUAGAGUCUUGUAGAGGGGGGUAGAAUUCCAGGUGUAGCGGUGAAAUGCGUAGAGAUCUGGAGGAAUACCGGUGGCGAAGGCGGCCCCCUGGACAAAGACUGACGCUCAGGUGCGAAAGCGUGGGGAGCAAACAGGAUUAGAUACCCUGGUAGUCCACGCCGUAAACGAUGUCGACUUGGAGGUUGUGCCCUUGAGGCGUGGCUUCCGGAGCUAACGCGUUAAGUCGACCGCCUGGGGAGUACGGCCGCAAGGUUAAAACUCAAAUGAAUUGACGGGGGCCCGCACAAGCGGUGGAGCAUGUGGUUUAAUUCGAUGCAACGCGAAGAACCUUACCUACUCUUGACAUCCAGAGAACUUUCCAGAGAUGGAUUGGUGCCUUCGGGAACUCUGAGACAGGUGCUGCAUGGCUGUCGUCAGCUCGUGUUGUGAAAUGUUGGGUUAAGUCCCGCAACGAGCGCAACCCUUAUCCUUUGUUGCCAGCGGUCCGGCCGGGAACUCAAAGGAGACUGCCAGUGAUAAACUGGAGGAAGGUGGGGAUGACGUCAAGUCAUCAUGGCCCUUACGAGUAGGGCUACACACGUGCUACAAUGGCGCAUACAAAGAGAAGCGACCUCGCGAGAGCAAGCGGACCUCAUAAAGUGCGUCGUAGUCCGGAUUGGAGUCUGCAACUCGACUCCAUGAAGUCGGAAUCGCUAGUAAUCGUAGAUCAGAAUGCUACGGUGAAUACGUUCCCGGGCCUUGUACACACCGCCCGUCACACCAUGGGAGUGGGUUGCAAAAGAAGUAGGUAGCUUAACCUUCGGGAGGGCGCUUACCACUUUGUGAUUCAUGACUGGGGU